Alosa sapidissima (American shad) is the source of this 3247-nucleotide long non-coding RNA. RefSeq lists it as uncharacterized. NCBI's taxonomy places the organism in Eukaryota, Metazoa, Chordata, Actinopteri, Clupeiformes, Clupeidae. The record is from RefSeq and is a predicted model, not a curated record. The transcript has 2 exons.
UCACGUGAUUAGGCAAUAGUUCUCUCAUAGCGCAGCGCACACACCCACUGCUACACUCCGCUGACACAUUUAACUUCAACAGCAUGUUACUCUGUUACAGUGUUUCCUUGACUCUUGCGAUAUUGGGGUGGGGGUCGACCAGCCUCAGUAUUAUAAUGUUGUUUGCAGACUACUAUUGCCGUUUAGACUGCUACAUUGAAGCAAAUAGGAAUUAAUGUUGCCUACAGAAUGGCAAUAAGAACAUUUUGUUCAAUGGGACUUUCGUCAGUGUUACCACUUACACUGGGUGCAAGGCCCGUGUUAAAAUGGAAUGAUGAAAAAACACAACUGGAGACACACUUCAAUGUCCUCCGAAGAUCCAGUCUGAUUAGUAGAGGUUCUUCUGCACGUGGGCAGCAAUGUACUUAACAGCCAACAUGGUCUCCUCACAAGUGGGCUUGAUCUGGGACUCGGGGAGCAGGAAGCCAUAGCGACCUUCGUCACGCAGCUCAAAGGUGUAGGAGUACUUCACACCCAGGUCAUAGGCCCAGUCAGUAGAGAUUCCAGCACAAGGGUCUGGGAUAACACACAUCAAUCAUAUAUGGCUUUCAAUCAGCAACACGACAAAAGACUGCAAUUAAUUAACAAUAAUCUGUUAAAUCUUUCCAGUGCCAUUCUUGAAGAUGGCCCAUUCAGGUAAUGCACAAUGCUAAUAUAUUUUUCAGACAUAAUAGCAGAUUAAAGAUGCAGUCUGCAAUUCUGGCAAAAGGUUGUUGAUAUUUUGAUAUUUGAGAACUCACAGAUGGUGGUAGCGCCAGGGCCCGCGGUGUACUUGGUGCCAUACAGGCUGGUCAGGGCAUUGCUGGCUCCCUGAGCAACACUCAUCUAAAGAGGAGACGGACAAGAUUUAACACAGUGACAUCAACUGAAGAUAUUAAUCCAGCUGGGAUUGAGGAACAUACAACUUCCCAACUGUGUAUUGUAGUACUUUAGUGAGAGAAUCUUCUAAAGUUCAACAUUUUGAGUGGGUAGCGAGUGUUGUGUAUGACGCUACUCAUAUCGGGUGUAGGAUUACUGUAGUGUGAUCAUACCAGCUCAGCGUGAUCAGCAGCCAGGUCGAAGGUGUAGGAGUAGGGGAAGAGGAGCAGCUGGGUGUAGGAGUGGAUGGUGAGGUAGGCCUUGAUGGUGGCCUUGUUGCUGCGGAUGAAGUUGGCCACAUUCUUGGACUCAAUCUCAGACUCGGGCUUGGUGCCGCAGUAGGUGUUGCUGCAGGGGUCGGAGGAGGCUCCCGUGGCUGUGACCACAAACGAGACACCGGAGAGUUAGACGAGACUGGAAAACAGCACCUUCUGUUGACCACUUUGGGAAGUAAAAAUGAAACCAUCCAUGUUUUAUUUUAUUUUGUGUUAAUGAGAAGUUAUCUGAAGUUGAUGAUUGCUUCUUUCAAAUUGUAGGUUUUUUUCAGUUUGAAAGAAGCAAACAUCAAAAAGAUCCUCUACUCACUGCACCAGGCAGCAUCAAAGUUUCUGUUGAGGUCAGUGCCGACGCAGCUGGAACCGCUAUUAAUGGAGCGAUUCUUCCUCCACAUCCUGUUCUACAAGUCCAAAAGACAAGGAACAUUUCACAAAGAAGAUCACAGAUGCCUGUGACUUUGCAUCAAGAGGAACAUUCAAACAUAUAUGACAUACGCUCUUCCAGGUGUAAUCAUAGCCGUCAACGUUGAAGACAGGCAGAACGUAGACAUCCAUUUGGUCCAGCAGGCUGGUCAUCUGAGAAUCAGUUCCAUAGCUGGACACGGCCUGCAACAGACACAAGAGGUCUAAAAAGGAAAGUUCCUAUGCACAGCCUUCCAGGUGCUGAUGAGGUGCAGUCGUCAAUGAUAUAAAAAGAAGGUUAUGGAUCACCACACACUGGUGGAAUUUCUUCGCUGGUUUAUUUUUUAGUGAACGACGCGUUUCGCCAAUACUUCAUCAGGUUCACUCUUGACACAAGAGGUCUGUUUUCAAAAAGCACAAACUCAGAGUAGAUGCAGUGGAAAGCUGUUGCUGUUUCUAACUGGUGGGUCAUACCUCCUUAACGAACCACUGGCAGAAAGCAGGGGAGAUCCACUCUCUGGCAUGGAUACCACAGUCCAGGAAGAUAGCAGGCUUGGUGGAGCCAGUCUGCUUGCCAAUCUGUGAGAGCAAAUGUAUGCUGUUUACUGGGGCUCAGGGUUAAAAAGGAAACAUAUAUAUGUUAUUAGGGAUUAAAAUAUAUUCCCAUUUUCACAGCUGCAUGUUGACACAUUGUAUUAGAGCACCAUUUUGACAGUGAGUGAAGAGUAUGUACCAUCUGUAAUGGUGUGAUAAGGAGAAGAGAGACUCCUAGUGGACAGUGUCUGUACCUUCAGCAAGUGCAUGGGACGGCCCUCGUAGGUGUUUCCGAUCACCUGUCUGCUCAUCAGAUUAGAGUUGGCUGAGGUGAUGGAGGUGAUCCAGGCCUGGAUCUGUGGAGAGACGGACAGGGGAAGAGGUCAACCAGCAGAUGCAGAAGAUGAUGGGAGGAUGAGGCAAGAUGGUGGAAGAGUCAGUCUGAAGAUGUAGAGGACAUUACAAAAUUAAGGAUGAAAUUGACACAGAAUGCAAAUGCAUAAGGAGAAGCUCACCUUGUCCCAGCUGUUGUACUUGGUGUAGGUGUGGGACCUGGGGCUGACCCUAGGCCCGUCCCUCUGAGCCUCAAUCUGAGCCUGGAGAUCCUCAAUCAGAAUCCUGCAGGGAACCAUGAACUCUCUCUGUACUAACUCUACUCUCUAUAAAUAACACUUCUGUGCAGUUUACUGUGUACUAUUUGCAUGUGUCAUUUGAAGUGUAUGUGUCUGCCACUAUGGAUGCAUCUAAAAAAAAUUAGAAUAUCAUGGAAAAUAUUUUUUCCCCAUUAUUUAUUUCAAAAAGUGAAACUUUCAUAAUCUAGAUUCAUUACACAUAAAUGUACAUAUUUCUUUCAAGACUUUUUUAUUUUAAUCUUGAAGAUUAUGGUUUACAGCUCAUGGAAAUGAACAAAUCCAGUAUCUCAAAAUAUUAGAAUAAAGAAUUUAUAAUACAGAAAUGUUGAACUGAGAAGAGCUCUAAUCCGCUAAUUAAGUCAAAAUACCGGCAAUGGUUUCAUGAGCUUUUAAUCUCUCAGCCUGGGCAGGGCAAUAGACUUUUCCAUGAUAUUCAUUUUUUUUAGAUGCACCUGUAUAUAAUGUAUUGAAAUAAACAUCAUGUGCAGAUAGGGAUAAUUGAACAAA